GGUUAAGCGACUAAGCGUACACGGUGGAUGCCCUGGCAGUCAGAGGCGAUGAAGGACGUGCUAAUCUGCGAUAAGCGUCGGUAAGGUGAUAUGAACCGUUAUAACCGGCGAUUUCCGAAUGGGGAAACCCAGUGUGUUUCGACACACUAUCAUUAACUGAAUCCAUAGGUUAAUGAGGCGAACCGGGGGAACUGAAACAUCUAAGUACCCCGAGGAAAAGAAAUCAACCGAGAUUCCCCCAGUAGCGGCGAGCGAACGGGGAGCAGCCCAGAGCCUGAAUCAGUGUGUGUGUUAGUGGAAGCGUCUGGAAAGGCGCGCGAUACAGGGUGACAGCCCCGUACACAAAAAUGCACAUGCUGUGAGCUCGAUGAGUAGGGCGGGACACGUGGUAUCCUGUCUGAAUAUGGGGGGACCAUCCUCCAAGGCUAAAUACUCCUGACUGACCGAUAGUGAACCAGUACCGUGAGGGAAAGGCGAAAAGAACCCCGGCGAGGGGAGUGAAAAAGAACCUGAAACCGUGUACGUACAAGCAGUGGGAGCCUCUUUAUGGGGUGACUGCGUACCUUUUGUAUAAUGGGUCAGCGACUUAUAUUCUGUAGCAAGGUUAACCGAAUAGGGGAGCCGAAGGGAAACCGAGUCUUAACUGGGCGUUAAGUUGCAGGGUAUAGACCCGAAACCCGGUGAUCUAGCCAUGGGCAGGUUGAAGGUUGGGUAACACUAACUGGAGGACCGAACCGACUAAUGUUGAAAAAUUAGCGGAUGACUUGUGGCUGGGGGUGAAAGGCCAAUCAAACCGGGAGAUAGCUGGUUCUCCCCGAAAGCUAUUUAGGUAGCGCCUCGUGAAUUCAUCUCCGGGGGUAGAGCACUGUUUCGGCAAGGGGGUCAUCCCGACUUACCAACCCGAUGCAAACUGCGAAUACCGGAGAAUGUUAUCACGGGAGACACACGGCGGGUGCUAACGUCCGUCGUGAAGAGGGAAACAACCCAGACCGCCAGCUAAGGUCCCAAAGUCAUGGUUAAGUGGGAAACGAUGUGGGAAGGCCCAGACAGCCAGGAUGUUGGCUUAGAAGCAGCCAUCAUUUAAAGAAAGCGUAAUAGCUCACUGGUCGAGUCGGCCUGCGCGGAAGAUGUAACGGGGCUAAACCAUGCACCGAAGCUGCGGCAGCGACGCUGAUGCGUUGUUGGGUAGGGGAGCGUUCUGUAAGCCUGUGAAGGUGUGCUGUGAGGCAUGCUGGAGGUAUCAGAAGUGCGAAUGCUGACAUAAGUAACGAUAAAGCGGGUGAAAAGCCCGCUCGCCGGAAGACCAAGGGUUCCUGUCCAACGUUAAUCGGGGCAGGGUGAGUCGACCCCUAAGGCGAGGCCGAAAGGCGUAGUCGAUGGGAAACAGGUUAAUAUUCCUGUACUUGGUGUUACUGCGAAGGGGGGACGGAGAAGGCUAUGUUGGCCGGGCGACGGUUGUCCCGGUUUAAGCGUGUAGGCUGGUUUUCCAGGCAAAUCCGGAAAAUCAAGGCUGAGGCGUGAUGACGAGGCACUACGGUGCUGAAGCAACAAAUGCCCUGCUUCCAGGAAAAGCCUCUAAGCAUCAGGUAACAUCAAAUCGUACCCCAAACCGACACAGGUGGUCAGGUAGAGAAUACCAAGGCGCUUGAGAGAACUCGGGUGAAGGAACUAGGCAAAAUGGUGCCGUAACUUCGGGAGAAGGCACGCUGAUAUGUAGGUGAAGCGACUUGCUCGUGGAGCUGAAAUCAGUCGAAGAUACCAGCUGGCUGCAACUGUUUAUUAAAAACACAGCACUGUGCAAACACGAAAGUGGACGUAUACGGUGUGACGCCUGCCCGGUGCCGGAAGGUUAAUUGAUGGGGUUAGCGCAAGCGAAGCUCUUGAUCGAAGCCCCGGUAAACGGCGGCCGUAACUAUAACGGUCCUAAGGUAGCGAAAUUCCUUGUCGGGUAAGUUCCGACCUGCACGAAUGGCGUAAUGAUGGCCAGGCUGUCUCCACCCGAGACUCAGUGAAAUUGAACUCGCUGUGAAGAUGCAGUGUACCCGCGGCAAGACGGAAAGACCCCGUGAACCUUUACUAUAGCUUGACACUGAACAUUGAGCCUUGAUGUGUAGGAUAGGUGGGAGGCUUAGAAGUGUGGACGCCAGUCUGCAUGGAGCCGACCUUGAAAUACCACCCUUUAAUGUUUGAUGUUCUAACGUUGACCCGUAAUCCGGGUUGCGGACAGUGUCUGGUGGGUAGUUUGACUGGGGCGGUCUCCUCCUAAAGAGUAACGGAGGAGCACGAAGGUUGGCUAAUCCUGGUCGGACAUCAGGAGGUUAGUGCAAUGGCAUAAGCCAGCUUGACUGCGAGCGUGACGGCGCGAGCAGGUGCGAAAGCAGGUCAUAGUGAUCCGGUGGUUCUGAAUGGAAGGGCCAUCGCUCAACGGAUAAAAGGUACUCCGGGGAUAACAGGCUGAUACCGCCCAAGAGUUCAUAUCGACGGCGGUGUUUGGCACCUCGAUGUCGGCUCAUCACAUCCUGGGGCUGAAGUAGGUCCCAAGGGUAUGGCUGUUCGCCAUUUAAAGUGGUACGCGAGCUGGGUUUAGAACGUCGUGAGACAGUUCGGUCCCUAUCUGCCGUGGGCGCUGGAGAACUGAGGGGGGCUGCUCCUAGUACGAGAGGACCGGAGUGGACGCAUCACUGGUGUUCGGGUUGUCAUGCCAAUGGCACUGCCCGGUAGCUAAAUGCGGAAGAGAUAAGUGCUGAAAGCAUCUAAGCACGAAACUUGCCCCGAGAUGAGUUCUCCCUGACUCCUUGAGAGUCCUGAAGGAACGUUGAAGACGACGACGUUGAUAGGCCGGGUGUGUAAGCGCAGCGAUGCGUUGAGCUAACCGGUACUAAUGAACCGUGAGGCUUAACCUU
RNAcentral lists this ribosomal RNA (2903 nucleotides) under Escherichia coli O19:H7. Its description in RNAcentral is "23S ribosomal RNA". It matches the Rfam family "Bacterial large subunit ribosomal RNA". Lineage: Bacteria; Pseudomonadati; Pseudomonadota; Gammaproteobacteria; Enterobacterales; Enterobacteriaceae. The record is from RNAcentral.